Non-coding RNA from Sus scrofa (pig), 3239 nucleotides. NCBI's taxonomy places the organism in Eukaryota, Metazoa, Chordata, Mammalia, Artiodactyla, Suidae. The record is from RefSeq and is a predicted model, not a curated record.
CACACACACACACACACACACACACACACACAGCCUAAAGUACCUGACAAGUAAUAACUAAAAAUAAGGCAAGGGUGUGCUAUACAAAUUUGGAGGCAUUAGGAAUAGAGAUUUCAUAGAGUAGAAAGGGGAGGACAAGUUUUGUUUGUUUUUGCUUUUUAACCUACAACUUUUUCCACCUCGUCCUCUCUUACAUCCUCGCGAAGCCCAGCGCAGCCCCAGGAACCGUGGGUCCAGCCCCAUCACCCCCAGCCCGCGCCCACGCCUCUCUCUGCGGCUCCAAGAGGAACCAGUCCCUGCUUCGCGGGGGCGUCUCGCCACCCACCCCGCGGCCCCGCAUCCCUGCAGGUCAAGCCAACCUCAGCCCAGGCGCCUCCCCAUCUCACUCCGGAAGGUGCGAGAGAGCAGCACCCUGCUUUGGUUCAGGUUUUUAUUGUUAUUAUUUCUCCGAAAAAAGAGAAAACGUGGCCUUGAAGCGUCCCCUGGGCGCAGGAGCUGUGAAGGCGCCGCGCCCACGCCGGCCCCGAAACACACGUUCCCGCGCGGCCUCGGCAGGUGGCCCGGGAGACUGGGUACUCCAUCCUCCGCCUCUCCUCGUUCACCCGCAGGUUCCUUUUAAAUGGACUGAACCCAUCCUGUUGGUUCGAAGCCCGGAGACAUCGGGGUGGACGUUGAAGUCGCCUGAGGCGCUCCCAGCGGAAUCUGCACUCCCAAGGCAAUUGUAGAUUUCAGAUUUCUCCCAGUAGAAAAACUGCCAUUAGAAUUGGGGAGAGCGUGGCAAGUGCCUGCGUCUUUAUCAGCUGAGCGGAGCUGAUUCAAAUUUCGGAUCCUAAUUUUUCCAGAUUUUGGCUUUAGGAAUAAAUCGUAGGAAUAUUUGAGAACAUGGAAUCUCGCCAUUUUUCCAGAUGGCAGCAAAGUAGGCAUGGUUGACAUUUUAGCUUUGCUAGAGGGGAAAAAAAAAGAAAAUUACAUGUCUUUUCUUCUUUUGUGUGAUUGGCAUCCUUUUUUAGAAGAUGUGCAUUUUCAUAAGGCAGGAAAUGACCCUAACAAAGCGACCUUAUUUAAAAGUAUAAGCUCAGUCGUCCAAGUUCCUGGCCAUUCUUCUCAUCAUUCUUUUUUUAAGAAUUAUUUAAUUAGCAUAUCUAAAGUCUGUUCUCAAGAUUCCUUUCAUCUUGGUGUCACAUAAAUUACAAUAUAACUAAAUAUGUCUUUAUAAGACAUUGCUUUUUUCUUUUCUUUUCUUUCUCUCUCUUUUUUUUUUUUUUUUUUUGAGUCACCACAGUUUGACCAAGAGCUUGAAUUUUUUUUCACUUUUUACUUUGAGAAUUUAAGUUUAAUGUUUCAGCCCGGGAAUUCUGAGGGCAAGGGCUUUAAAAACGAGGUAUAAAAGAGAAGAACAAAAUCUCACAAUUAGGCAUUGCAGAGGUUUCAUAAGUCAAUAUCAGAUUUCUUCUAAAAUAAUAUUUCUUUUUUUAAACAGUCUCUGUUUCAUAAUUUCUCUAGUGAUAUGGGAUGAAGAGAAGUUCACAUUUAACAUGACUUUUAUUAUGGAUAAAAUGCUUGGGCUGCAUGAAAUGGUACAACUUUCCUUGUAACACUUGUUGAAAUGCAGGUGGUUAUUAAAGAGAUUUACAUUCCCAUGAUAGGCUUGCCUUUUGUGCUUUUCAGGGGAAAAAAAAAAAGUGAAGGGGUAAGUUUCAGGAAAGAAAUCCUGUGUGCUUUUUUCCUUUCAUUUUAAAGUUAUGCCUCUACCGUAGAUCUUUCGAUCUUUCUUUUUCCUUUUUCCUUUUUCUUUUCUUCUUUUUGGGAGUGUACACAUGGCAUAUGGAGGUUCCCAGGCCACCAGCCUAUGCCACAGCAAUGUGGGAUCUAAGCUGAAUCUGCAACCUAUACCGAAGCUCAUGGUAACAACGGAUCCCAAAGCCACUGAGCGAGGCCAGGGAUCAAACCUGAAACCUCAUGGUUACUAGUUAGGUUCUUUUCUGUUGUGCCACAAGAGAACUCCAGAUUUUUCGAUCUUAAGAAAACAAAGACUUGAAUCUUAUUGGACAGAAUUUUCAUAUGUUUCAAAUGUCCCUUGGCUACAAGGAGGCACUUUUGAAGGAACGGCUUGGCCUCCCCUAUUAACCGCCCCCCCCCAUUUUUGCAAUAUCCAUUAUGCAGUUGUAAGGGGUCACCCACCAGAGCAAAGAUUGGCAGACUGCUCCUUUCGUGAAGAGCACCAUAUUAGGUGUUCUGUGUGUGGCUGGGCUACAGGAAAAUAGGGGAAGUUUAACCAUGUAGUUACGCCAGAAUAAAAUGAAUGAAUGAAUGAAUGAACGAAUGUUAGGUGAGAGAAAAGCAUAAGGGGAAGUGAUAAUUUAUCAGUCUGUCAAUAGGUACACAUAAAUAUUCAUCGUUGAUCCCCGACAAUGCAAGUGUUCAGGCUGUAGUUAAAAAAAAAACAUCGCUGACCAUCAGAAGAAUGCUGUUCAUUCAUUUAUUCAUUUGUUCAGUCAGCCAUCAUCCAUCACCCAGAGCCUUUUAUAUAUCAGUCAUUGCAGUCUGUAAUUAUUGGUGGGAACCUUGAAUUAAGUUCUCAGAAUAUUCCUCACAUGGCACCUAUAUGAGUCAGAGCCUUGCAAAGCACCUUAUCCACCAGAGUCUUGCAAAGCGCCUAGUGUAUUAGAUGUUCCGUAAAUGCUAGUUGAAUGAAUAAAGGAAGAAACAACUCAUUUUCUUAGUUACUAGAGAAAGGAACCUCCUUGAAAAUUAUGUGUAAAUUAGUGUUGUUUAGGGAAGGAAAGAAGUGUUGCCCUCAAUUUUUCCUGUGUCCAGUGAAUACUUGAGGGGGCAUUUUUUUCCUUGCUUACUAACAAGUCAGUGGUUUUAUUAUUUAAUGAAGCCAGUAUUUGUGUGCAUAAAAUAGAAAAGUUAUCAGUGAUCAAUGGUGCCAUCUGGUGUACUUUUUCAUUUAAAUAAAAAAUGCUGUAAGUCAUUUUUACUAUUUAAGUUUUCUGUUGCUAUGUGAUAGCCUUUAUCAAUAAAAAUAUUUAUGAGCAGACCUCAGAGAUGCUGCUGAUUUGGCUCCAAGUCAUUGCAAUUGGGCAAGUCACAUGAGUUUUUGGUUUCCCAGUGCAUAUAAAAGGUGUGUUUACACCAUACUAUAAUCUAAAUGUGCAAUAGCAUUCUGUCUUUAAAAACAAUAUUCAUACCUUAAUUUAAAAGUAAUUUUUUUGUUGUUGUUUGUUUGUUUUUUA